Molecule: ribosomal RNA, 1567 nt
Filed under: metagenome
Description: bacterial LSU rRNA
Rfam family: Bacterial large subunit ribosomal RNA
Source: RNAcentral
UGAGUGAGAAUGCCGGAAUGAGUAGCGAGAAUUAUGUGGGAAUCAUAACGGCCGAAAAUCUAAGGUUUCUUGGGGAAGGUUCGUCCGCCCAAGGUAAGCCGGGAGCUAAGGCGAGGCCGCAAGGCGUAGUCGAUGCACAUACGGUAGAAAUUCCGUAGCCACCGAACCUUAAACCGGAAGGACACUUUCAGAUAGCAGAACCCAGCCGUUGGUAGAGCUGGGCGAAAGGGACUGAAAUAUAGUAGGGAAGUCUGCGAUGCUGAGAGGCGAGAAAAGCUCCGGUGUAUGCUAAGGUGCCCGUACCGCAAACCGACACAGGUAGAUGAGGAGAGAAUCCUAAGGCCAACGGGAGAAGGGUUGUUAAGGAACUCGGCAAAUUGACCCCGUAACUUCGGAAGAAGGGGAGCCCCGAAAGGGGCCGCAGUGAAUAGGCCCAAGCAACUGUUUACCAAAAACACAGGUUUAUGCUAAAUCGAAAGAUGACGUAUAUGAGCUGACGCCUGCCCGGUGCCGGAAGGUUAAGAGGAGAUGUCAGGAGCAAUCCGAAGCAUUGAAUUGAAGCCCCGGUAAACGGCGGCCGUAACGAUAACGGUCCUAAGGUAGCGAAAUUCCUUGUCAGGUAAGUUCUGACCCGCACGAAUGGCGUAAUGAUUUGGGCACUGUCUCAACAGCCCGCCCGGCGAAAUUGUAGUACUGGUGAAGAUGCCAGUUACCCGCAACUAGACGGAAAGACCCCAUGGAGCUUUACUGCAGUUUAAUACUGGGAAUCGGUAAUGCAUGUACAGGAUAGGUGGGAGACUUGGAAGCAUAGUCGUCAGGCUAUGUGGAGUCACCGGUGGGAUACCACUCUUGUAUUGCUGGUUUCCUAACCUGCGGCCGUGAAUCCGGUCGGGGGACACUGUUAGACGGGCAGUUUGACUGGGGCGGUCGCCUCCAAAAGAGUAACGGAGGCGCUCAAAGGUUUGUUCAGCACGGACGGAAAUCGUGCAUUGAGUGUAAACGCAUAAACGAGCCUAACUGCGAGACCGACGGGUCGAGCAGUAACGAAAGUUGGAGUUAGUGAUCCGGUGGUAUGUGAGUGGAAAUGCCAUCGCUCAACGGAUAAAAGCUACCCUGGGAUAACAGGCUGAUCUCCCCCAAGCGUCCACAGCGACGGGGAGGUUUGGCACCUCGAUGUCGGCUCGUCGCAUCCUGGGGCUGUAUUCGGUCCCAAGGGUUUGGCUGUUCGCCAAUUAAAGCGGCACGCGAGCUGGGUUCAGAACGUCGUGAGACAGUUCGGUCCCUAUCUGUUGCGGGCGUAAGAGAUUUGAAGGGAGCUGUCCUUAGUACGAGAGGACCGGGAUGGACGUACCUCUGGUGCACCAGUUGUCCUGCCAAGGGCAUAGCUGGGUAGCUAUGUACGGACGAGAUAAACGCUGAAAGCAUCUAAGCGUGAAACUCUCCCUAAGAUGAGAUCUCUCAUCCUUUAUGGAGUAAGGGCCCAGAAAGACGAUCUGGUUGAUAGGCCGGAGGUGGAAGUGCAGUAAUGUAUGCAGCUGACCGGUACUAAUAGCCCGAGGGCUUGAUC